Molecule: ribosomal RNA, 317 nt
Filed under: uncultured bacterium
Lineage: Bacteria
Description: bacterial SSU rRNA
Rfam family: Bacterial small subunit ribosomal RNA
Source: RNAcentral
GAUGAACGCUAGCGACAGGCUUAACACAUGCAAGUCGAGGGGCAGCGGGGGAGUAGCAAUACUCCCGCCGGCGACCGGCGCACGGGUGAGUAACACGUAUGAAACCUGCCCGUAGCAGGGGGAUAAGCGGAAGAAAUUCCGUCUAAUACCGCGUAACAACCCAUGGAGGCAUCUCCGUGGGUUUAAAGGAAGCGAUUCCGGCUACGGAUGGUCAUGCGUCGCAUUAGCUUGUUGGCGGGGUAACGGCCCACCAAGGCGACGAUGUCUAGGGGUUCUGAGAGGAAGGUCCCCCACACUGGUACUGAGACACGGACCAG